GAUGAACGCUGGCGGCGUGCUUAACACAUCCCCUUAGAGCGAAGCGAAUCUUCGGAAGUUUUCGGAUGGAAGACCAUUUGACUUAGCGGCGGACGGGUGAGUAACGCGUGGGUAACCUGCCUUACACUGGGGGAUAACAGUUAGAAAUGACUGCUAAUACCGCAUAAGCGCACAGGGCCGCAUGGUCUGGUGUGAAAAACUCCGGUGGUGUAAGAUGGACCCGCGUCUGAUUAGGUAGUUGGUGGGGUAACGGCCCACCAAGCCGACGAUCAGUAGCCGACCUGAGAGGGUGACCGGCCACAUUGGGACUGAGACACGGCCCAAACUCCUACGGGAGGCAGCAGUGGGGAAUAUUGGACAAUGGGCGAAAGCCUGAUCCAGCGACGCCGCGUGAGUGAAGAAGUAUUUCGGUAUGUAAAGCUCUAUCAGCAGGGAAGAAAAUGACGGUACCUGACUAAGAAGCCCCGGCUAACUACGUGCCAGCAGCCGCGGUAAUACGUAGGGGGCAAGCGUUAUCCGGAUUUACUGGGUGUAAAGGGAGCGUAGACGGUUAAGCAAGUCUGAAGUGAAAGCCCGGGGCUCAACCCCGGUACUGCUUUGGAAACUGUUUGACUUGAGUGCAGGAGAGGUAAGUGGAAUUCCUAGUGUAG
This 650-nucleotide ribosomal RNA is filed under the name uncultured bacterium. RNAcentral describes it as "bacterial SSU rRNA". It matches the Rfam family "Bacterial small subunit ribosomal RNA", at positions 28 to 678 of the family's 1533-position model. The record is from RNAcentral.